This 206-nucleotide ribosomal RNA is filed under the name Clostridioides difficile. RNAcentral describes it as "partial 23S ribosomal RNA". It matches the Rfam family "Bacterial large subunit ribosomal RNA", at positions 815 to 1021 of the family's 2925-position model. Lineage: Bacteria; Bacillati; Bacillota; Clostridia; Peptostreptococcales; Peptostreptococcaceae. The record is from RNAcentral.
GUAGCGGUGAAAUUCCAAUCGAGCCCGGAGAUAGCUGGUUCUCCCCGAAAUAGCUUUAGGGCUAGCCUCAAGGUGAGAGAUACGGAGGUAGAGCACUGAAUAUCCUAGGGGGUAUUGCACCUACCGAAGACUAUCAAACUCCGAAUGCCGUCAUCUUAUACUUGGGAGUCAGACUGUGGGUGAUAAGAUUCAUAGUCGAAAGGGCA